UUUUUUUUGUCCAGUUUGUUCCAUAUUAGGAGUCUAAUUUCAUGGAUUGAACAGCAAAACCCUCGUGAUUCUAUUGCUCAUAUAAUUCUUUACUAGUUAAUGCUUACUUUGCUAAUGACUUUUGCCUAUCCCCUCUGGCCGUCUUCAAAGUGAAACAUUCCUUUGCUUCUUCAUUUUCCAGCACAAAGUUUACAAUAAUUUAUAAUAUAAUUUUUCUACGGAACUGUUUUCAUCUUUUUUAAGAUCAAACAAAUUAAUCUCAUCUCUUUUUUUUAUGUUCAACAAAUUAAUUCUUCUGCUUAAAUUCGUUGUUACUUCUAAUGAAAAAUAAUCAAAAUGCCCUUCUAAAGAACUUGAGAAAAUAAAUUUUGUUUCUAUUUGCUUAUUUUGCAAGUUAUUCCACAUUGAAAAUGGAUUUAAGAGUAUUUCAAUAAUUUUUUGUUAUAAUUAACAAUAAAUAAGACAUAAAUUGGACAAAUUACCAUAUAUUAUAGCGGAAUUUGUCAUCCCACCUAAUUUCUAGUACCCCAACAACAGAAUAAUAUUAAAAAAAAAAAAAAAAAUACCAGAAUGCAAGCAUGCAUGAAUACAUGUCACCACCCGGACAAACAGACAGAGCCAUCUCAGCUUUGCCGAUUUCGUUUGAUUUCAUCAUCCCAUUGGNNN
This 666-nucleotide long non-coding RNA is filed under the name Manihot esculenta (cassava). Its description in RNAcentral is "long non-coding RNA (MESC_LNC008577)". Lineage: Eukaryota; Viridiplantae; Streptophyta; Magnoliopsida; Malpighiales; Euphorbiaceae. The record is from RNAcentral.